This 468-nucleotide ribosomal RNA is filed under the name uncultured bacterium. RNAcentral's name for it is "partial 16S ribosomal RNA". It matches the Rfam family "Bacterial small subunit ribosomal RNA", at positions 28 to 507 of the family's 1533-position model. The record is from RNAcentral.
GACGAACGCUGGCGGCGCGCCUAACACAUGCAAGUCGAACGGAGCUGAGAGAAGCUUGCUUUUCUUAGCUUAGUGGCGAAAGGGUGAGUAACGCGUGAGUAACCUGCCCUGGAGUGGGGGACAACAGUUGGAAACGACUGCUAAUACCGCAUAAGCCCACGAUCCGGCAUCGGAUUGAGGGAAAAGGAUUUAUUCGCUUCAGGAUGGACUCGCGUCCAAUUAGCUAGUUGGUGAGGUAACGGCCCACCAAGGCGACGAUGGGUAGCCGGACUGAGAGGUUGAACGGCCACAUUGGGACUGAGACACGGCCCAGACUCCUACGGGAGGCAGCAGUGGGGGAUAUUGCACAAUGGGGGAAACCCUGAUGCAGCGACGCCGCGUGGAGGAAGAAGGUUUUAGGAUUGUAAACUCCUGUCGUUAGGGACGAUAAUGACGGUACCUAAAAAGAAAGCACCGGCUAACUACGUG